This is a long non-coding RNA of Herpailurus yagouaroundi (jaguarundi), 193 nucleotides long. RefSeq lists it as uncharacterized. The record is from RefSeq and is a predicted model, not a curated record. NCBI's taxonomy places the organism in Eukaryota, Metazoa, Chordata, Mammalia, Carnivora, Felidae. The transcript is spliced from 2 exons.
UGAGAGGAGCCUGAGUGGCUCAGUUGGUUAAGAAUCUGACUUUGGCUCAGAUCAUGAUCUCCUGGUUCAUGAGUUUGAGGCCUGCACUGGUCUCAGUGCUGACAGAUCAAAGCCUGGAGCCUGCUUUGAAUUCUGUGUUUCACUCUCUCUCUCUGCCCCUCUGCUGCUGGCACUCAGUCUCUCUCUCUCUCUC